UUAGUUUUGAUGCUAAAGGUGCAUCUACUUUAGGGCAGUCCCAGUGCAUUAUAUCUUAAUGUUGCUUCUACAACAAUCCUCAUUUAAUGUCUUUCCUGAGAGAAAAGUUAUUAAAAUAGUACAAUUACGAGUAGAAAAUUCAAUACAAAUCAAACCAUCAAGGGAGAAAAAAAAUGCCACAUACAAUCAGCAGUUAGUAAUAUAGUGACCGAGUGAAACUAUGAAUUCAAAGGGAUCGACUGAAAUUUCAAAGACAAAGAACGAUCUAAUAAUAUAAACUCUAACUGAUUGUCAGCAAUCAACCAGAGUCUUAGUGGCUACACCCAGUGGGUGCAUUGAUGGUGCCCUCACUGGAAAAAGUUUGUCACAUACAACUCAAAUGAUCUUAUAACCCGAGUGAAACCAUGAAUUUAAGAUAUUGGUUCUAGAUUUAAGAGUAAGGAAAUAAACUAACCUAUGAUUGCCAUCAAUCAGUCAGAGUCACUAUUGGAAUUUACUUGUUUGCCAAGUGCCAAAAACACUCGGCAAAAGGCAAAAAACACUAGGCAAUACUUUUGCCGAGUGUUGUACUCAGCAAAGGGCACUGCUGCUCCCGCCGCCGCCGCCACGAACUCCUUGCCCUCGCUACUGCUUAGUUGCUGUCGUCACCGCUGACGCUCGAGAAGAAAAUGUUGUGGCCGCUGACGCUCGGGCAGAGCAGCUCACGAAGAGGAGGCCAUGACCAUUGACGCAAGCCGGCCUCGAUGCUGCCGUGCGUUGGGUGAGCGCACUCGCUGUUGAUGUGCAUGCGUGAGGUUAGCUUGGUCGCCACGCUUGGUGUCGCCGUCGACGCACGGGGCAGCUCGCCGGUCGCCGGAGCGCUGCUGCUCGGGAGCGAAGGACGUGCCGAUGAGCUGCUCGGGCGGGCUGUGCUACUGCUGCUCGACGAAGGGUUGCACCACCAAGUUGCUGCGGUACAGCCCCAAGGCCGACGAGGGCUGAUGACGGCUAGCCGGAGCCGGCAGCCUCCUCCCCCGACCCAUGAGAGAGAGAGGCCGGAGAGAUAAGAGAGAGAGAUAGGACUGAGACGAGAGAGAUAAAAGUGAGACGAGUGGACGAGAGAGAUAUGGAGAACGUGCCCGCCACCUCAUCGAUCCAUGUGCUCUAAUGUUUAGCCAAUAGAAUGGAAGCAAAGUUGUGCUUCUUUGUGCGUUUUCUUUCCAUCUUUCUUUUGUAUUUUACACAUUCAUUUUUAAAUAAAAUUCAAGUUUAUUAUUUUUCCUCACAAAUAGUAUAUAUAGCGGGACUCCAUGCGAAAGGAUUGUAUUUUUUGAAGUUGUGUUCUUUUUCUUCUUUUUUUCCGAAACAGGGUCAAAAUGACCGACACGGCCAUUUGUGGCAAGGGGUUGAAUCUCUCAAAACUCUAAGUGGAUCUUUCAUAUAAUUAUUACUUGUUACCUAAAAAUAUUUUUUUGCUAGUUUUUAGGACAGAGCUAACACACACUUGCAGUUCAAAUUUGAAUUAAUUUUGAAAAAUCGACGUAAAGUCAUUUAAAUGUGCGAAAGUUGUUAGAAAUCUAGAUAAUCCACACAACUUGUGAAAUGUGCAUAAAAUAAGGUCUACUUACCAUGAAAAUUGAAGCGGUACCAUUUUGCACCCUGUUUUUUGUACCUGCUUCACAAAAAAAUACCCAUUUUUGACACUUAGAAAAUAAAAAUGUGGUUUUUUCUACAGAAAAGCUGGAAACUCUAGUUGGCAAGAUUGUUUGUAAUGAAGAGAUGCAACUAUGUGCCUAAUAUGGGAACAUUAUAAUAAACUAUGCAAUGAAUAUGACCACCAACUUGCUCAUUUGACUUCAAGCCAUGAAUGUUUCUAGACGAUAGCCCUUUUUGUGAAUGAUUUUCUUUUCAAAUUUGUCAUAUUCAAAUUUUGAUAUUUUUCCUUGCAACUAGUACACAUAAAAUGACAGCAUGCGAAAGGAUUGCAUUUUUUGAACCUGUAUUCAUUUUCUUUCAUUUUUUCCAAAAUAGGGUCAAAAUGGCCGGCAUGGUAAUUCAUGGAAGGGGGUUGAAUCUCUCAAAAAUAUAAGUGGUUCUCCCAUAUAAUGACUACUUGUGUGCCAAUUGUUUUUUUUGCUAAUUUUACGAUAGAGCUAUCACACACUUGUAGUUCUAAUUUGAAUUACUUCCAGAAAUCAACAUAAAGUAAUUUAAAUGUGCGAAAGUAGCUAAAAAAACUAGAAACUCCAUUAAACUGGGGAAUUGUGAAUAUAAUAUGGUCUACUUGCUACGACAAUUGGAGUUGUGCCAUUUUGCACCAUUUUUUUUGUACUUGCUUCACAACAAAUAACCAUUUUUUACUCUUAGAAAAAUGAAAAAUGUUUUCUUUUUACAAAAAAGUUGGAAACUCUAUUUGGCCACAUUGUUUGUAACUUCAAGAUGCACAUAUGUCCUAAUUCAGGAGCAUUAUAAUAAACUAUGCAAUGAAUAUGGUCAUCACCUUGGUCAUUUGAAAUGAAGGUCACCGAUGUUCAUACAUGAUAGCCUGUUUUGUGAAGGACUUUUUUUUUCAAAUUUGUCAUAUUGAAAGUUCGAUAUUUUUCCUCACAACUAGUACACAUAAAAGGAGUCCAUGCAAAAGGAUUGCAUUUUUUUGAACUUGUAUUCUUUUUCUUUCGUUUUCUCCAAAACGGGGUUUUCUCCAAAACGGGGUCAAAAUGGCCGGCAUGGCUAUUCAUUGCAAGGGGUUGAAUCUCUUAAAUCUCUAAGUGCUUCUCUGAUAUAAUGACUACUUGUGUAAUUUUUGCUAAUUUUUAGGACAGAGCUACCACACACUUGCAGUUCAAAUUUGAAUUACUUUCCGGAAACCAACGAAAAGACAUUUAAAUGUGCGAAAGUAGCUAGAGAUCUAGAAAAUCCACGCGACUUGGGAAUUAUGCAUAAAAUAUGCUCUACUUAUGGUGAAAAUUGAAGUGGUGCCAUUUUGCACCCUAUUUUUUGUACUUGCUUCACAAAAAUACCCAUUUUUGACACUUAGAAAAUGAAAAAAGAUUUAAUUGUACAGAAAGUUGAAAACUUAAUUUGGCAACAUUGUUUAUAAUGGAAAGAUACACACAUGUGUCUUGUUUGGGCACAAUAUGAUAAACUUUGCAAUGAAUAUGAUCAUCGCCUUAGUCAUCUGAGACUAAAUUUUUACAUGGCAAAAGUGUAAUUAAUAUGGCCUCAAAUGAAAAAGUUCUCAACAUGAGAAAUAUUCGUCUUGUCAAAAUGAACAACUUUUAUUUUUGGACCAUCUUCAUCCGAGGUCGUAUGCAACCUCCAUAGUCAAAACCAUGAAGCGUAGCGGAGACCACCUUUUGCCGAAUGUGACACUCGGUAAAGACCCCCUUUUCCCGAGUGUAGCACUCGGCAAAGACCCCCUUUGCCAGGUUUUGUUGUUUUACCGAGCAUUUUGUCCACCACACUAGGCAAAGUACCUGUUUGCCGAGUUUUGCUAUUUUGCCGAGUACUUUUUGAUAGGAACUCGGCAAAGAUACUAUUGCCGAGUGCCCGACAUAAUGCACUCGGCAAAGAACCUAACACCCGGCGUAUAAGAAAAUUCCAGUAGUGAGUCUCGGGGGCUACACCUAGUGACUGCAUUGAACGUGCCCCCACUGAAAGAAAACAUAUCAGACGCUACUCGGAUGGCAAGUCAAAAAGUUGAACGUACCACUGCAAAUGAUCGACACUUACUGUGGUACUUACUCGGAUAUGAGCUUUCAGAACCUCACUUGAAUUGAGUGCAUCCUUUAGCUUGGAGUUCAUCAGCUCGGCUUGAAUCAUGGUCUAUUUGCUGGCGCUAACCUUAUCCACGAGAGUACUUGCCAACGGAUACAGUACAUACGUAAUAGUGGGAGGCGUUCCAGGUCGGGGCUCCAUAACUGCCAAUGCACUCGGAGCGGCUUGUACAAUAUCGAUCGGCGGCGCUCGAACUCUUGCAUCCGACAGAAUUUCCGGAAUUUUGGGUACCUUGUCAUGAUCGGGAUCCAUCGCCACUGGACUUCACCUUGGAGUGGAGGGUCAACGACCAUUUGAACACGCUCUUCAGCGUUCUCCACAGUAAUCACUUGUUCAAUGGCUAGAAACAAUGCAAAGUAACAGUUCAUCAGUCCUUGCACUGUCUUUUCUAUUCGGAUGGUUGUAUACAAGAAAUAGAAUACCUUUCGAACUGACAACAUCAACAUUAGGUUGUCCUUUGCCUUUGCACGCGGUUUGUUCGGUAGCUUGGCUGUUAUGACUUGUAGAAGUGGCAACCCUACAUUAGAAAAGGACAUAAGAUGGUUAUAACAUCCGAAUGAUCAGCUACUUAUACUUAUUUGGAGAGGUGGCUGCAUAUGCAUCGCCCAGAUGUAGAGGCCGUAGGUCUUCCUCCUUUUCUAAAAAAAUACUUACUUGGAGACAACCGGAACGACCUUCUUUAUCUUAUAGCAAGGCUGGGCUGGCAACAACAGCUCGUCGGAGGGCCUUGGGAGAUCUCCAGCAGAGAAGUCCACAGAAGCCAAAUCAGGAGCUAUUGCAAUAUCAUCCUAGGACACUGCAGUAAUAUUGUUAGGAGACAGGUUCAUAUCAGUUAUCGAACCAAAACACACCAGUCCAUAUCAAUUAGUAGACAGGUUCAUGGAAUGAUUUGUAACCCUCCCUUUCAGUUGAACUAGACCUAGUUCGGCAUUAAAUAUGAGUGUCUACUGUCUAGUGAAUCCUCCCAGGAAACCAUGUCCGUUUGCAAGAAGCAAUUACGUAAUAAAAACAGAGAGCAUUUCCAACUUGAGGAGGCAUUUCCCAAGCUUCUCCGUUUGAAAGAAGCUGAGCCAAAACACAUCGGUCCAUACAUGACCCGCCCGGAGACAUCCAUAGAGAAGAUCACGAGGAACGACACUCACUCGUCACCAUCGAGAUGAGAAAAUUGUGCGCUAUUAACUGGCAUAAGAAUAAUGGAAAUUUAGGAACUGGGUGCAGCAGGCAGCAGCCUUCAAUUGGUACGAAAGUGGAGCGAGAGAGCUAGAUGUACAGAUAGUGCUACUGUAGAUUCUACCGACCACCGAACCUAACAGCACGCACUCAUUACUGCAAGGUCACCAUCCGAGAUCAACCAGAGAAUUGUUUGUGACAAACAGAUCAGCCAGAGGCGAAAGGGAAAAAUCGGUCCGGCUGUUCGUGAGCUCACCUUGGUCGCCGUCGUCCUUGUCUUUUCCGAGGUCGUUGACCUGGUCCUGACUGUGGCUGCUGCGGCCUGCGGCGGGGUGUGGAGGAGAACCCGGGCAGGGCGGCGGUAGGAAGAACCCUAGACUUCGAUCGCCUCGUCGCCAGGCAGACGGGCGAUGGGUAUUUGAGGCAGGGGGGACGCAUUAUCGAGUAUGAUCUCAUUGGCGACGACGAGUUGAAGUUCAAACUAGGGGUGCGGGGCACAUCUUCCAGGCUGCGUAUGCUCUGACUUGUGUCGUCCUCGCCCACCUUCCUUUUGUGGAGCACCAAGAUGGAAACGCUAGCCAGCACUAAGUGCUUCCAAUUAAUGACUAUCCGAUCCAGAUAUUUGCUUAACGCGGCACCGUUGGUCCCAGGAGUCAGGCUGCAAAAAAUAGAAAGGGAGAUAAACAAAUUAAAUGUAAUUUAAAAAGUAAAAAUAUGUUAACUGUGUAUACGGAAAGUGUAGUCAUAUGUAUAAAAAAUGUUUGUGACUAUUAUAAAAAGUCAUACAUUUUAAAAAGUGUACGUGACAUUCAAAAAAUGCUUAUACAAAUGUAGAAAACAUGUUCUUGUAUUUGAAAUGUAUGUCAUAUUUCAAACAAUGUUAAAUGUGUUAUGGAAAAUGUUAAUCUUGCAUUUAAAAUGUUUACUGUGUAUAAGAAAUUGUUUGUGAUAUAUAAAAAAAUGUACAAAUGUAAAUGUAAAAGGUAUAAAAUGUUAAUUGUGUACAAAGAAAAUGUUAAUCAUAUGUAAGAAAAAUGUUGGCGGCAAUUAAAAAAGUCCCAUAUUUCAAAAAGAUGUACGUCACAUAUUGUAAAAUUUGAAAUGUUUCAAAAAUGUGUUUGUGUCAUUUUCAGAAAAUGUCUGUACUUUAUACAUAAAUUUGUCCAUAGUUCAAAAAAUGUCUGUCAUUUCAAAAAUGUUUUAACACAUAUUUGAAAAUAUAUUUAAAACAUGUUUUGUAAAAUGUUAAACAUGUAUACAAUUAUAUUUUAUAUGUAUACGAAAUAUACAAUGUGUUGAAAAGCUCUCAUUUGACGUAUACAUCUAUACAAAUAUAUUUUAUACUUUUAGAUAUAGUUCUUUCAAUUGGUUGUAUCUUUUCUUUGUAUCUUGAAAAGCUCUCAUUUAACGUAUUUCUCAAAACAGGCUUUCGCCCUGCCUUAUAUAUAAAGCAACAACCAAUUCCAGGCCGAUGCAGAACGCACGCGAUUGCGCUACCGAAAGAGAAUACAUGAAGAACUGAACACAACACCACGCUAUGCCAUGGUACACCUAACCUCGACGACAACGCCCUUGGGAGGGAGAAGGACGCAAUGCGUCGCCGCUGCCGAGUCCACUGCGAACAAAUGUCUUCACCUGGAGCCUUGACAUGAAGAGAAGAACCACAAUGACGUCUUCAAGAAGAGAGAGCCACCCGCGGCCGUCACCAUCGUCGGCACCAAGGCACAGAGCUUUCUCUCGUCAACUCACCUGUGCCACCACAAUAUCUCUAGGACAAGCAUGACGAGAACAGAAUCCUAGAUCCAUAUCAAAGCAUUGCCCCUACGAAACAAAGAGCACGCCCGAGCCACCCGUCGCUACACCUCCUAUUGCCCAUACGACCCAGAAGGAGAGACAACACCCUCGCGAGUUUACUUGCCGCAGAGCAAACUAUGCGGACUGCCAUCUGGGGUCACUGCCCUGGCAUCCUGUCGCAAGACAUCGUACACCGCACACUUCACAACACACUCAACCGCGGUAGGAAGAGCAGAGGCACGCCAUCUACUCUCUUACCGGCAUCAGCCACCGAGUCUAGAUUAGCGUCUCCACCAUAGGAUGUGCCCAUGGCUGCAUCCCCAGCCAUUCCUGGUGAACAGCUGGGGAAUGACCCUUUGGCUGCCGACUUCUGUUGGUGAACAAGCCCCAAGCCCUGGCCUAGGUGAGCUCGCGGAGCGCCCAUGAUUGUGGCCAUCGAUGUCGAUCCGCACGUUGACACAAUGCUAUUGCGACCCACACCAUCGACCACCACACCCACGAGAAGAUCACGAGCACCUCCUGGUAGCACCAUCUGGACCAAACCCAACAUAAACCUACCCAGAGCACAAGCUCUGAUCUGCCUCGGGCCUAGAUCUAGUCCACUUGAGGACAAACCCUAGGUCGUAGCCACCAUGAUGAGCACAAAACGCACGCCACCGACCUAUAACCUAGAGAAGGGACGUCGCACCCGCCACACGCACCCCGCCGCCGAAUGCCAAAUGUGUUGCGCCCAUGUCGACGACCCAUGCAACCCACGCGAGCUAACACCACCGCGCUGACCUGAAGCACCGGGGAGACACAGCCGGAGCCAACACCUGCCACCGGAGGCAAGCCCCAGCCAGCGACCACCACCGCGGCCAGUGGGGAGCCCACGACACUCGAGGCGCUGGUAGCCAGAUCCGGCCACACCAGAUCGAGCCACCAUGGCCACCACGGCCGGGUAACGGACAACCCACCACGAUUCCACCAGGAGUCAUCGCGGGCGCCCGCGGCACGGGUGAGACCCUUCCACCGACGACCAUGGCCAAGCCGCCACCUACUGGAGAUGCCCGCACGCAAUAGACCCGCCAACCAUGGGGAGAGGAGAUUUUUGCCGCCGUCGAUGACGACUAGGCUUUGCCCGGCGGAGGCAAUGAGAAGGGAGAGGAGGAGCCCUUGCCGGCAGCUAGGGUUGGCCGGCCCUGGCCACCCACGGGAGCGACGAGGGUGCGUGUGCGGGGCAGGUGGGGCGACCAAUCAUAGCUGUUUGACCGACCCCUAUUUAGCUCAAUCCAUCAUGUACUCAUUUAAUGUAUUUUGUUAGAGUAAAGUAUGAUUCAUUUUAGUUUUGACCCUAAGAGGUACCUGUACCUUACGGCAGUCCCGGUGCAAUAUAUCUUAGUGUUGUAUCUACAACCACCCUCAUUUAAUGUCUUUCUGGAGCGAAAAGUUCUCAAAAUAAUACAAUUACGAGUAGCAAAAUUCAAUACAAAUCAUAACAGCGAGGGAGAAAAAACGCCACAGCUUGCGUAAAACAGGAAAACAAGCCUGCGUAAAACAGGAAAACAAGCCUACGCACAAAGCCUGUUACUGGACCGCCAUAAAAACCGGUUGUAAGAUUCUCAUCCGACCAUCUCCCAACUAUUGCACCCAUAUGUCAUAUUGUCUCACACUAUCGCAGCUUGCAGUAAGGUCCACAUACAAAUCCACCAUGUACUCUUAAAAAUGACCUUAAAGAACAGUGAUCUUCAUUCUGUUUGAGAAAGUUUCAUUAUAAUAAUUUCACAAAGCCCAAUGCAAAGAGCACACCCAACCGGAUAUGUUGGGGGCCAAUAAAAAAUAGUGUCCCGACUAGGGGGCCUCUCACCAUGUCGACUCUCGGCCCGGUGGGUUGGGCUACGGAUCCCCUUUGUCAGUUUUGUCCUAAGCCACUUCGGGCAGCCCAUAACGAUUCCAAAGAAGAUCCAGAAUACAUGGCAGAUACUCCAAGACGCUAGAUUUGUGGAGAACUCUAUCACCACGUGUGUAGCUGACUAGUAUCAUGUACUCUAGGACUCUCUGGUACAUAUAUAAACCGAGGGGCCGAGCUCAUAGAAAUAAUACUUCCCAUUGUCCAAAGACAUCUAGCUUAGUAUGCCCUACCUCGAGAUCUGCCGGUUUUAGGUUUCGUCAAAGGUGGCCCAUAUAGGUCCUGCUAGGUGAUCAUCACGAAUCGAUAGGAGUGAAGAUCAACGCUUAGAAUGGUGCCAACACAAUAUUUAUGCUGGGCCGGAUGUUCGCCUUCGGUAGCGUCACCCUCAUCUCCAACUAGGCUGGCCACCUCGGCCAGGUUGAAUCUUUUGCUGCAGAUCGGAUCAUGCGGCUUUGCAGCAUGGAGUAUACCGCGGAUAUACACUGAGAGGUGAUCUUCUUAAGUUUAGUUUCGCACCAGGUCGAGGAACAAGACGAGUAGCUUCCCUUGGCUCUCAUGUGAGAUCUAGCCGAGGAGGAGUGUGAGAAUCUUGUUCUAGGAUCAGUGUCAAAUCGGGUCACGAAGAAACUUACCCUAGUCUUGUUGUCACGUCAGACCUUGGCAGAUAUGAGAAGCCUUUGUCGGGAACCACCUCAGGUCGGAUCACGAAGCCACUCUCCUCGGGCACGCUUUUUAUAUUAGAUCCAACCUGAUUAGAAGAAACUGUAUAUUUCAUGAAAUCUUAGAGGGGGUAGCAUAGGAAUAGUUGGCAAAUGCAGCCCGAUUAGAAGAUCUUGACCAAUGACGUAGAUGUUGAUCCUGAUCCCGACUUCUAGCUGGUAUGCCUUGGCCAAUCUUCGACGGCAACCCAAAAAAGUUUGAUAAGUUUCAUUUUUUAUUAAAACCGAGAAAUUGAAGUGCUCUUCCAUUUGAAGGAUGGACUCAAUUAUGGUUGGCUGAUCUAGUACUCGAACUUGUAGCAUCUCAAGGUUCUCAAUCCUUGCAAAGCAAGGAAUGAUCUUAACAAAAUAAAAGGUGGUAUCAGACAUUUGUUAGGAUCAUGUAAGAAGCCAACAGGUUAUGAAAUCAUCUAUUAUUCCUACUAAGUGCAGGAAAUCAUCUCGAGAUGUCACAUAUAGUGGUGAACAUAAAACUAAAAAUAAAAUACAACGUUGUAGCAACAAUACAAUUAGCAACUCAUGAUCAUGUACCGGUUAAAAAACACAUGAUAGUGUUUCCACCAUGUAUUGGAGAUAUAUCAAGAAUUGUAAAUCAGACACUUACAAUAUCAGGAAGUUCUUUCUCAUCCAGGUCUUCUUUUUCGUUUUAAUAAAACACCUGUAAUCACCCGACCGGCGUUAGUAUCGGCAUUUUACCAUCCUUGCGUUCUACUGAACACUAGUUCUAUCUAUACGAUCAUAAUUCGUAACUAGCAAAAUCUGAGAAGCUACAGAAAUAGAAGGAUUAGACUUAUUGACAGUGAUGAAACCCUUUUACAGUACAUGACCAAAUGACACAAGGUAGUGAGGAAGCCCUUUUACAGAAGAAUAUCCCAACAUAACCGGACAACACAAAUUGCCCUGCAAACGCCAAAACAAAAAUCAAAAUGACUACAUUGCCGAAAUACGACACAGGAAAGCCCGAAGAAUCAACACGACUCGCACUAGGACAUCUAAACUCCACAAUAAUGCCAUCAGGAGGGAACACGACGACAAGCGUCGUCGAUUUUGAGUCCGAGGUGGGCAAGGGUUUUCACCUGGAACCCUGACAUGAGGAGAAUCAUGAUAACGUUCUAAGUAGGAGAGUGUCACCCACAUGUGUCGCCGUCAAUAGCACCAAAGUGCAGAGCUGUCGCUCGACAGCUCGCCCAUGCCAGCAUAGGGCUCUCAGGACAACUGCGAAGAGAAAAACCUCCAAAUCCAGAUUUGGGCAUCGCCACUUCACUAGAGGAGAACGAGUUUGAGCCUCCCAUUGCUACACUGCUCACCGUCCACACGACCAAGGAACAUAACCGCCACCGCCACCAUGGUGCUCGCUGAAGAGCCCUCGAUGUGACCAACACCCGGGGCCGCCGCACCGGCAUGCAAGGGCCUGAUUCCAUCCCACUUAAAUCCUGCAGCCUCAACAUACUGAAGGGGCAGACGGGAAGGUCACUCCUUCCCCACCCCUGGGCAUCCCCCAAGCCCAUGCCCGAGCCCCGACCAUAGGCAAAUCAGUACACCCUGCCCAACCCUACCUUGGUGGGCAAAGGGCAAUCCCCUAGCAUAGGGAAGGGGAUGGAUCUACGGCCCGGUGGCGGCAGAUCCACAUCCUUGGCGAUGGUCCAAACAUGGGAGGUGGCCAGCCCUACGACCUGGUCCAUGCAGAUCCGAUUAGGAUUGGAGGGAAGCCUGACUCAGACGACGUCACAAACAGAGAGGGACGGAGGGGAUGGCUGCCACAGAGCCAUAGCACCACCGGACAGAAGCAUCCCUGAGACAGCCAUCCACAAGCGCCAUCAACCACCAGCAUCCGGAAACCAAACGACGAGGCCGAGCUCAAACGCAAGCAGAACCAGCCCUCACCACAGCCGCGUCGUCUGCUACUCACUUGAGAUUAGAUUUGGGAGGGCCUAGACCUAGCAGCCGCCACCACCCGGACACGCCCCUCGGCAACUGCUCGCCCCCACACUGCCGCAGCACACCUGCGCAGUUGCCGCCGUACCACACACCAGGUGUCGUUGCCGCCCCGCGCCGCCGCGCACUGUGCUUCCACCGAGAAGAGAGGCCCCGUGCCACCGUAGACCCGUGUGCAAGGGGGAGGCAGUUCCGCCGGCGCUAGCGCCUCACAGGCUUUGCAUGACAGACGCCCUCUGGCAGAGGCGAGGCGAGGGGGAGGAAGGAGAAGGGCCUUGGCCGGCAGCAGCGCUAGGGUUUCCGUUUGCGCACCCAGGGUGCGUCGCGGGAAAGGGAAUGGGUUCGGUCAGCAGUUUACAAAUGUUUGCCCCCACUGUCCCUGAUUUUAAUUUCAGGCGAGAGGUAUGAAUUAAGAAAUGUCUACAUACCAGUUCCAGUGUUACGCCUUGAUCAGCUUAGCCAUCUCUCCUACAUACUUCCUCCGUUUUAAAAUAGAUGACUCAACUUUGUACUAACUUUAAUACAAAGUUAGUAUAAAGUUGGGUCAUCUAUUUUGAAAAUGGAGGGAGUACUUAUUAUAGAAAAUAAACUGAGUAUUCCUCCGCAGUACAAGCAAGUAAAUGAGCCACGCGGAAAUCCGUUGGUGCUCCCAGGAGCGCGCGCUCCUGCAUGCGAAGAAAAUGUUUCAAAGCGUGAAAAAUUUCCAAACAAAAUUUUGCGCAUACAUCUCGACAUUAUAUGUGUGCACGCAAGGUUUUGGAGGAAACCGGCAUUUUUUAUGGCUUGUGUAAAAAAGACAAAAGGAUGUCUUGUGAAAAUUAUUUUUAAACAUCAAAUUUUGUCUUUUUCACAUGCAACACAUAAGUUGUCGGUUUUUCGCAAAACAACUUUAUGAGCAUGUACAAUAUCGAGAUGUACGCACCAAGUUUUUGUUUGAAUUUUUUUGACAUUUCAGAAUUUGUUUAAAACACAUUUUAAGAAUCAGGAGCGUGCGCUCCCAUGUGCCAAAACGCCACUCUCAUGAGCCACGGGAUUACUUUCCCGAAGAUAACGAUCAAAUGAAAUACUAGUAAAAUUACGAGCUAAAAAUGUACACUCUUCAUACUUAGCAGCAGUUGGACCAAUUGAACGUGGAGGCAUCUUUCAAGUCUAGGACUUUUUUGCAGACAUCAAGCUAUGGACGACGGAACCGGCUAUCUGCUAUAACACGAUUUAUUUGCCUCUAUUUCGAGUAUUAAUUAUACCAUACUUGUCGUCAACCCGUGCAAACGUACGGACUAGGACUUUUGCAUAAAUGAUACAUUAUAGUAAAUUGUGUUGAAUUUUAUUUCUUACAUAAAAUUAGAACUUCACUCAAAUAUGUUUUUCUUCCAUUGCUUAUCUUUAGGACAAAGAAACUAUAUUCCACCUCAUUGUACUCUUUAUGUACUAUGUUAUGGAGUAGUAAUCAUUAAGGGGUAUAGAAUAUUGGGAUGACAUCAGCAGGAUAUCUCUUUCAGUACAUAAAAAGGGGAAGGAAACAAAGAGAGACGCAAGCCAUAUUUUAAAUGAGCUGGAACUUCGAGUUUCCCCAAUUCUACUCAAAUAACUGAAAAUAUUGGAUCCAACGAUACCACAUUUCUUGAAAUCGGAAAUCACACCACACUCCCCAUCUGAAAUUAAUUGCAUCAAGAUAUUUGUACCCAUAAAAUAAAUAUACAGGAACAAUAAUGCAUACAGAAAAUUCCAUACUCAAAUCUUUCAUUGUUAACAUAACGUUAUGGGAGAAAAUUUGAGUGACUGCAAAAAGCUCUGUUAUAUUCUCACAAUUGUAAGUAUGUAUCUUCAAGAACUGGACACCAACCAUGCUCAAGUUUUUGUUCCAGUCAGACAUUCCAUUAGUAACAAAUAGUUAGGUAAAAAUGUAAUACGAGGACACUUAAUACUAUUUGUAGCAAGAUCACUAACAGGUGCACCAAAUGGACAAACAGUUAUGUCCACGGAUCAGAAUGACUUCUCAUAUAGAAAUAUGAAGACUAUAAAUGUAGCACACUAACAGUACGAAAGUGCACUAUAAGAAGUUGGAUGUUACAAAAAUAUGUCACCUUUUGUUUGUGUUAAUUUACUAAAUGUGUCAAAUAUACUUGAAUAAAUGAAUUAGAUCUGCAAAACUUCUACAUUUUUCAAAUGGAAAAAUUAAGAAAAUAGUAUGAUGACACGUUCAUAUUAACACAUAAAACAUGAAGUUGACUACUACCAAAGAUAGAAGGUUUGUCUUAUAAGCUCGCCUCUUGGAACAAAUAGAAUGUUGACUUACAGAAGAUAAGACGUUUUAGCAAUGACAUGUGAUUUAGAUUUUUGCGAGAAAGGACUUACAAUAACAUCCAAUGAUUGAAAUGAUCUUGUAAUUAAUACACACUAUAGUUAAUAAGGGUGUCAUUUUUGGAAUAAUAUACCACCAACAAUGUGCCAAAAGCAUUGUGGUUUACUUGCAUCUUCUAGAAAGAACCUUUUUCCCUUUUAUAGAAUCACAAUAGAUUUUAACAAAGAUAUGAAACAGUUGAUUUGGAUAUGCUGAACUAGGAAGAGAAAUUUAUGAAGAGAGCGAUGGUUAUUACUAAUGGGACCAUAUAGAGUAUUGUUUUGAAACUCGAUUCACUUAGUACACAUUCCAGACCACCAAGCUUAUUGUGCUGAGAUAAUUUUCCUUGAAAAACAUUAAAAGUGCCUCAUGGAAGCAACAUAUGAAAAGGAUCAUUAUGAUCCCCAUUUCUCUCUACAUGUAAGAGUUUGGGGAUCUCAAAACAAAAUAGGUAAGGAGAAUCAUAUAUAAAAAUAACCAAACACAUGUUUUGCUAUUACUUUGAGUUAUUGAGUCAGGAGCCUUACCUUUGUAUAUCUGUUGUUCGCACAUUAACAAAACAUGAUAAAAAAAAUUUAAGUGCGCAUACAACAAAACAUCCCUGGAAAUCAUUCCAAGAAUUUGUUUUUUCAGAGAAAAUUAUCUAAUUAGUAUUCAGCAUGCCUUCUAAAAAUAAUAGAUAUGAAACAACAUGUCAUCCGUUUCUUUAUGCUCCUCAAACUCUAUUAUAGAAAACGAUAAGUUAACCCAUCAUAACUUGGAAGAAAUAUUUAUCUCAUGUCUCAAACUCUCAGCUAUAUCCUGUUUUGAACUUUGGUUGAUCACCAUCGAACAGACCUGUUAUAAUGUCUUUGGUAAACACAUUUUUUAAGCGUAAUGGUAAAGAGCAAUCUGGACCUCCUUUUUCAUGCAUCUAUCAUUGAAUCGGAUUCUGCUAUCAGUAACAACAGCAAAGCACGUUUAUAAUUUGAUAAAGUUCUUAUUUGAGGUCUCUGACUCUCGGCUAUAUCAGAAUCAGAAUAAGAUAAAAGCAACAUCAUAACAGAGCAGAAAUUUCCCCUUCUGUGUCCUAAUUAGAGAAACCUUGCUCAAAUCUCAUAUCCUACGGUAAAUGCAAUCAGUAGCAUCAUAAUAUACUCAUACGUGUGCAAAAUAAUAAAUCCCUAUUAUCUGUUUAAUUCCCAGAGAAGGCAAAUAUUGGAUGAUGAAGACCAACAGUUUGGAAACAUAGGUUGUGACAUCCAGAAUGAAGCACCACAAAGACAUGGGAUUGAGGAAGAAGAGAGGCCCUAGUUGCCGCUGGUACAUCACUCUAGUUGGGAUGUAUCGACAGAUGACAUGGUGCACGGAAAAAAUUAUCAGAGCUGGAUUUAGGUGCCAUCAGAUGGUGUAAUUAUUGCCUUAAUGGCUGCUAGAUGGGAUUCCUUGAAAAUUAAGGUGGACGCUUGGACAAAGCCUCUGGUUUGCAAAUAUAAAUAUAAGAUAUAUGAACUAAGCGUGCAAGGUAAGUCCUGGCAAUUACCAUGGAAGGAUUGGAGAGCGAAGAGAAUUUAAAUUAAAAAAACACCUGAUAUGGCAUGAUGCUUACAUCCAAAGUACUUAUAGAUGUAGAAAGUAUCUACAUCUCUUUAUUUGUGACAGAACGUAAUCUGUUUAACUCUGGCUCAUAUCUUUGGCGUACACUUUCAAUGGAAAAAUAAAUAUGUAAUCACUUAAAAUAGAGAAGAGCCAAAAACUUAUAGCUUAUCUAAUUGCAAUACAUUGUUAAAUUGUAGUUUGAAAAUAAAGCACUAAGUUUGGCUCAGCCAUGAAAACCAAAUCAAAUCGUAGUAUAAUCAUAAAGGGUAAAUAAAAUAGUUCUUAUAUUAAAGUAAGAAAAUAUGGGUAUCUCUACAAUUAGUGUAUUUUCUAAAGAUGCAUGCUUUAAUAAUCACUGUAUGUACCUACCUCAUGAACCCAAAGUCCACACUUUGCACUUUCCUUUUGUGGAGCGUCAAGAUCGAAUGGCUGGCCAGCACUAAUUGCUCUCAAUUAAUGACUAUCCAUCCCAGAUAUUUGCUUAACACGGCAGAAUUGGUCUCAGUACUCAGGACGCAAAAAACAAAAAGGAAGAUAAAAAAAAGUAUAAAUGUAAUUUAAAAAGUAGAAAUAUGUUAAUUGUGUAUAGGAAAAAUGUUAGUCAUAUAUAUAAAAAAAGUUUGUGACAAUUAAAAAAAGUCAUCCAUUUUUAAAAAAUGUACAUGACAUUCAAAAAAUGCCUAUACAAAUACUGAAAAAAUGUUUAUGUAUUUAAAAUGUAUGUCACAUUUAAAACAACUUGUAAAUGCGCACGUGCAAUGCACUUUAAUAUUUGGGCAAUAUAUUAAUUGCACGUGUUGCAUGUUAAUAUUUAGGCAAUAUAUUAAUUGCACUCUGAUAUUAGGUAUGUUAUUCUCUGUGUGCUAAUUCUGUGAUUAGUGCAAUAUUUGGUAUGAUAUUAAUUGCACGUUAAACACGUUGAAUGCUCGCCAUUGGAGCAGUCUAGGUCCUUGGAUUGACUUAGUUUGAUGGCCGAGAUCAGUUGAAUCUGCCUCUUUGGGUCUUUUUAUAUUGGUAUAGAUGCAAGGUCACCAUCCGAGGUCAACCAGAGAAUCGUUUGUGACAAACAGAUCAGCCAGAGGCGAAGGGGAAAAAUUGAUCUGGCACGUCAGCUCACCUUGGACCUCGUCGUCCUUGUCGCUCCUGAGUUCGUUAACCUGGUCCUGGCCGCGGCUGCUGUGGGAGGACGCAGAGGAGAACUCGGGCAAGAAGGAGGUAGGGAGAACCCUGGAUUUAUAUCGCCUCAUCGCAAGGCAGACAAGCAAUGGGGAGUUGAGGCUAGUGGGGACGCAUUAUCGAGUAUGAUCUCAUUGGCGACGGCGGGUUGGAGUUCAGACUGGGGUGGGGGACGCAUCUGCCAGGCUGCGUAUGCGUUGACUUGUGUCGUCUUCGCCCACCUUCCUUUUGUGGAGCGUCGAGAUGGAAUCGCUGGCCAUCACUAAUUGCUCUCAAUUGAUGGCUAUCCAUCCCAGAUAUUUUCUUAACGCGGCAGAAUUGGUCUCAGGAGUCAGAGCGCGAAAAACAAAAAGGGAGAUACAAAAAAAUUAUAAAUGUAAUUUAAAAAGUAGAAAUAUGUUAAUUGUGUAUAGGAAAAAUGUAGUCAUAUGUAUAAAGAAAGUUUGUGACAAUUAGAAAAAGUCAUACAUUUUUAAAAAAUGUACAUGACAUUCAAAAAAUGCUUAUACAAAUGUAGAAAAAAUGUUUGUGUAUUUAAAAUGUAUGUCACAUUUAAAACAACUAGUAAAUGCGCACGUGCAAUGCGCGUCAAUAUUAGGCAAUAUAUUAAUUGCACACGGAUAUUAGGUAUGCUAUUAUUUUUAUGUUAAUUAUGUGAUUAGUGCAAUAUUCGGUAUGAUAUUAAUUCCACGUUAAACAUGUUGAAUGCUUGCCAUUGGAGCAGUCUACGUCGUUGGAUUGACUUAGUUUGAUCACCGAGAUUAGUUGGAUCUGCCUCUUUGGGUCUUUUUAUAUUGGUAUAGAUGCAAGGUCACCAUCCGAGAUCAACCAGAGAAUCGUUUGUGACAAAUAGAUCACACAGAGGCGAAUGGGAAAAUUCGGUCUGGCUCGUGAGCUCACCUUGGUCGUCGUCGCCCUUGUCGCUCCCGAGGUCGUUAACCUGGUCCUGGCGGCGGCUGCUGUGGCAGGACACAGAGGAGAACCCGGGCGGGAAGGAGGUAGGGAGAACCCUGGAUUUAGGUCGCCUCAUCGCAAGGCAGACGGCCUAUGCGGAGUUGAGGCUGGUGAGGACGCAUUAUCGAGUAUGAUCUCAUUGGCGACAGCGAGUUGGAGUUUAGACUGGGGUGGGGGACGCAUCUGCCAGGCUGUGUAUGCGUUGACUUGUGUAGUCCUCGCUCACCUUCCUUUUGUGGAGCGUCAAGAUGGAAUCGCUGGCCAUCACUAAUUGCUCUCAAUUAAUGGCUAUCCAUCCCAGAUAUUUUCUUAACGCGACAAAAUUGGUCUUGGGAGUCAGGGCAUAAAAAUAAAAAGCGAGAUACAAAAAAAUUAUAAAUGUAAUUUAAAAAGUAGAAAUAUGAUAAUUGUGUAUAGGAAAAAUGUUAGUCAUAUGUAUAAAAAAAAGUUUGUGAUAAUUAAAAAAAGUCAUACAUUUUUAAAAAAUGUACAUGACAUUCAAAAAAUGCUUAUACAAAUGUAGAGAAAAUGUUUGUGUAUUUAAAAUGUAUGUCAUAUUUAAAACAAGUAGUAAAUGCGCACGUGCAAUGCACGUUAAUAUUUAGGCAAUAUAUUAAUUGCACGUGUUGCACGUUAAUAUUUAGGCAAUAUAUUAAUUGCACACGUAUAUUAGGUAUGCUAUUAUUUUUAUGUUAAUUCAAUAAUUAGUGCAAUAUUUGGUAUGAUAUUAAUUUCACGUUAAACACGUUGAAUGCUUGCCAUUGGAGCAGUCUAGGUCAUUGGAUUGACUUAGUUUAAUGGCCGAGAUCGGUUGGAUCUGUCUCUUUGGGUCUUUUUAUAUUUGUAUAGAUGCAAGGUCACCAUCCGAGAUCAACCAGAGAAUCGUUUGUGACAAAUAGAUCAGACAGAGGCUAAGGGGGAAAAUCGGUCUGUCUCGUGAGCUCACCUUGGUCGCCGUCGUCCUUGUCGCUCCCGAGGUCGUUAACCUGGUCCUGGCCACGGCGGCUGUGGCAGGACGCAAAGGAGAACCCGGGCUGGGCAGCAGUAGGGAGAACCCUGGAUUUAGAUCGCCUCAUCAGGCAGACGGGCUAUGGGGAGUUGAGGCUGGGGGACGCAUUAUCGAGUAUGAUCUCAUUGGCGACGGCGAGUUGGAGUUCAGACUAGGGUGGGGGACACAUGUGUCUGGCUGCGUAUGUGUUGACUUGUGUCGUCCUCGCCCACCUUCCUUUUGUGGAGCGUCAAGAUUGAAUCGCUGGCCAACAUUAAUUGCUCUAAAUUAAUGACUAUCCAUCCCAGAUAUUUGCUUAACGCGACAUAAUUGGUCUCUCGAGUCAGGACACAAAAAAAAAGGGAGAUCAAAAAAUUAUAAAUGUAAUUUAAAAAGUAGAAAUAUGUUAAUUGUGUAUAGGAAAAAUGUUAGUCAUCUGUAUAAAAAAGUUUGUGACAAUUAAAAAAAGUCAUACAUUUUUAAAAAAUGUACAUGACAUUCAAAAAAUGCUUAUACAUAUGUAGAAAAAAUGUUUGUGUAUUUAAAAUGUAUGUCACAUUUAAAACAACUAGUAAAUGUGCACGUGCAAUGCACGUUAAUAUUUAGGCAAUAUAUUAAUUGCACGUGUUGCAUGUUAAUAUUUAGGAAAUAUAUUAAUUGCACGCGGAUAUUAAGUAUGCUAUUAUUUGUGUUUUAAUUCUGUGAUUAGUGCAAUAUUUGGUAUGAUAUUAAUUGCACGUUAAACACGUAGAAUGCUUGCCAUUGGAGCAGUCUAGGUCGUUGGAUUGACUUAGUUUGAUGGCCGAGAUCAGUUGGAUCUGCCUCUUUGAGUCUUUUUAUAUUGGUAUAGAUGCAAGGUUACCAUCCGAGAUCAACCAGAGAAUCGUUUGUGACAAACGAUCAGCCAGAGGCGAAGGGAAAAAAUCGGUCUGGCUCGUGAGCUCACCUUGGUUGAAGUCGUCCUUGUCGCUCCCGAGGUCGUUAACCUGGUCCUGGCCGCGGCUGCUGUGGCAGGACGCAGAAGAGAACCCGGGCGGGGCGGCGGUAGGGAGAACCCUGGAUUUAGAUCGCCUCAUCGCAAGGCAGACAUGCUAUGGGGAGUUGAGGCUGGGGGGAGGGGGAGGGACACAUUAUCGAGUAUGAUCUCAUUGGCGACAGCGAGUUGGAGUUCAGACUAGGGUGGGGGACGCAUCUGCCAGGCUGCGUAUGCGUUGACUUGUGUCGUCCUCGCUCACCUUCCUUUUGUGGAGCGUCAAGAUGGAAUCGCUGGCCAGCAGUAAUUGCUCUCAGUUAAUGACUAUCCAUCGAAGAUAUUUGCUUAACGCGGCAGAAUUGUUCUCAGGAGUCAGGACACAAAAAAUUAAAAAGGGAGAUACAAAAAAUUUAUAAAUGUAAUUUAAAAAGUAGAAAUAUGCUAAUUGUGUAUAGCAAAAAAUUUAGUCAUAUGUUUAAAAAAAGUUUGUGACAAUUAAAAAAAGUCAUACAUUUUUAAAAAAUGUACAUGACAUUCAAAAAAUGCUUAUACAAAUGUAGAAAAAAUGUUUGUGUAUUGAAAAUGUAUGUCACAUUUAAAACAACAAGUAAAUGCACAAGUGCAACGCACCUUAAUAUUUAGACAAUAUAUUAAUUGCACAUGUUGCAUGUUAUUAUUUAGGCAAUAUAUUAAUUGCACGCGGGUAUCAGGUAUGCUAUAAUUUGUGUGUUAAUUUUGUGAUUAGUGCAAUAUUUGGUAUGCUAUUAAUUGCAUGUUAAAUACGUUGAAUGCUCGCUAUUGGAGCAGUCUAGUUCGUUGGAUUGACUUAGUUUGAUGGCCGAGAUCAGUCGGAUCUGUCUCUUUGGGUCUUUUUAUAUUGGUAUAGAUAUAGAUAUAGAUGUUAAAUAUGUUAUGAAAAAUGUUAAUCUUGCAUUUAUAAUGUUUACUGUGUAUAGAAAAAUGUUUGUGAUCUAUAAAAAAUGUACAAAUGUAAAUGCAGAAGGUAGAAAAUGUUAAUUGUGUACAAGAAAAAUAUUAAUCAUAUGUAAGAAAAAUGUUUGUGGCAAUUAAGAGAAGUCCCAUAUUUCAAAAAAAUGGACGUCACACUUUACAAAAUUUGAAAUGUUUCAAAAAUAUGUUUGUGACAUUUUCAGAAAAUGUUUGUACGCAUUAUCGAGUAUGAUCUGAUUGGGGAGGAUGAGCGGGGGGGCUAAACCUGGGCAAACGCCGGGCGGGGCCGGGUUUCGGGCAGGGCUUGUAAAAGCCCAACCUUCAUUUCUCAAGCCCGAGCCCGGCCCGAAGCCCGAAAUAGUCAUUGUUUUCAAGCCCGAGCCCGGCCCGAAAUGAAGCCCGAAGCCCGAAAGCCCGACCCGAACGCUAUUUUUCAGUGUACGCACGUGCAAGCCCGACCCGAAGCCCCAAAGCCCAGCCCGAAAUACAUGAAUAGUGAAGCCCGAGCCCGGCUCGAACUAUCUUCCGGGCUGCAAAACAAGACCCGGGCCCGGCCCGAACAUCAAGCCCGACCCGGCCCGGCCCGGGUUUUUCGGGCCGGGCUCCGGCCGGGUCGUCGGGCCGGGCUGUCCAUGCCCGGGUUUAGCAGGGGCUGUUUACGUGGGAUUUUAUAGAAAAAUACACAUAUGAGAUUUCAACAUUUUGACCAGGCAAAUAAUUUAUUUAAAAUUCGAAAAAAUGCCAUGCGCCAAGCCUGGGCAUGAUGAUUUUUGGUCUGGCGUUUAUAGACCCUGCCCAAAAUUUGGCUCGGCGGUGGUGUAAAAAAGAGAGAGCUCCCUCCCGCGAGCGACCGGGAGGCUAGCCCUAGCGCCGCCAUCGGGCCUCCCCCUCCCAUCCUUCCCUCCCUCAUCGCUGCCAGGGGGCACGGCCGGGCCAAGCCUCGCCGGUGUGGCCGUGGAGUUCUCGUAUUCUCACGCGGGGAUCUCGGGGCGGGCCGGGGCAUCCUCGCCUGGAUGUGGUGCUUCAUGUUGGGUGUGGCAGCACGGCAUCGGGACACGGCGUGUAGCGCCGCUGCCGGGACUGCGGUGUGACAGGCGGCAUCGAGGUGGUUCCUCCUUGGGACCUGUGGCGGCGGCGGCAUGACGCUGCGGCGCGUCCUGAUCCGGCGUAAAGGGUCACGACCAUGGUCGGCAUGUGUCAUGAGUUGGUGCUCCUAUCAUGGCUCUCUGCUGGUGGGGGUGGUGCGUGGCAGUUGUGGGCGUCAUCUUCUAACUCUACAUGCAGCUGGGGAGAGCGGGCUGGCACGGCUAAUGGGUGCCUGCUGGGACCCGGUCAGAUCCGCCCAGAUAUGGGCCUGGUCGCCGGAGGGUGCCCCCGGGGGCUGGCGUGGCGUAAAAGGUAGAAAAUGUUAAUUAUGUACAAGACAAAAGUUAAUCAUAUGUAAGAAAAAUGUUUGUGGCAAUUAAAAAAAGUCCCAUACUUAAAAGAAAAUGUACGUCACAUUUUCUCAAAUUUGAAAUGUUUCAAAAAUAUGUUCGUGUCAUUUUUUAGAAAAUGUCUGUACAUCAUACAUAAUUUUUUUCAUAGUUCAAGAAAUGUCUUUAUCAUUUCAAAAAUGUUUUAAUGUGUAUUUGAAAACUAUAUUCAAAACAUGUUCUGUAAAAUGUUAAAACAAUUGUAUUUUAUAUGUAUACGAAAAAUAUACAAUGCGUAUGAAAAAGUAUAAAUAUAUUGAAAAAACAAAAAACACAAAGAAACAAAAAGAAAAGCGAAGAAAUAAAAAACCUGAAAACCACAAGAAAGAAACAAAGAAAAGAAAAGUAUAAAGAAAAACUAAAGAAAAUCAUUGAAAAUCCCAAGAAAACAGAAAAUGUACUGAUAAAACUGAAGAACUGGUGAGAACACAAAGAAAAGCAAAGAAAAACCAAGUUUGUUAAUCUUUGAUAACAUAUGCAGUUCAUCUGCCUUUGCUAAAUGCAAUUUGAGGCAGUAGACGACCAUGGAAGCACAACGAUAUAAUGACAAUGCCCUUGGGAGGGAGAAGGACGCAAUGUGUCACCGUUGCCGAGUCCACCACAGACAAUCUUCACCUGUAAUCAUGACCCGGAGAGAAGAACCACAAUGAUGUUUUCAAGAGAAGAGAGGCACCCACGGCCGUCGCCGUCGUCGGCGCCAAGGCACAAAGCAUUCGCUCGGCAACUCACCCACGCCACCACAAGAUCUCUAGGAUAAGUGUGACGAGAACAGAACCCUAGAUCCAUAUCAGAGGAUCACCCAUGUGAGACAAAGAGCACACCCAAGCCACCCUCAGCUACACCUCCCGUCGCCCACACGACCCGGAAGGAGAAACAACAGCCCCGCGAUGUUGCUGUAGAGCAAACUAUAUGGACUGCCAUAUGGGGUCGCCGCCCAGGCAUCCCUGUCACAAGACAUCGUACACCACACACUUCACAACACACUCAACCACGGUAGGAAGAGCAGAGGCACACCAUCUACUCUCUACCCGGCAUCAGCCACCGAGUCUGUGUAACCGUCUCCACCACAGGACGUGCCCAUGCCUGCGUCCCCAGCCAGUCCCGGUGGACUGCCGGGGCACGCCACUCCUUGAUUGCCGAUGGCUGUAGGUAAACAAGCCCCAAGCCCUAGCCCAAGCAAGCUCGCAUGACGCCAUGUCUGUGGCGAUAGGCGUUGAUCUGCGCACUGACACAAUGAUAUCCCGACACCCACCACCGAGCACCACACCCGCGAGAAGAGCACGACCACCUCUCGCGAGCACCAUCUAGACUGGACGCAACCUUACCUACCUAGCGCACAAGCUCCGAUCUAUCUCGGGCCUAGAUCUAGGCCACUCGAGCACAAUCGCUAGGUCCUAGCCCAGUUGACGAGCGCGAUACGCACGCCAACGACUCAUACCCAGGAGACGGGAGGUCGCAACCGCCACACAAACCCCACCGCCGAGCGCCAAACAUCGUGUUGUGCCCACGCCAACGACCCAUGCAACCCACGCGAGCUACCACCACCGCGCCGACCCGAAGCACUGGGGAGACUGAGCCAGAGCCAACACCUACCAACGGAGGGAAGCCCUAGCCAGGGACCGCCACCACCGUCGCUGGGGAGCCCCGCGGCACCCAGGUGCUCGCACCCAGAUCCGGCCACACCAAAUCGACCCACCAAGGACGCGCAACGGACAUCCCUCCAAGCCUCCAUCAGGAGUCACCGUGGGCGCAUGGCAUGGGCGAGACCCUGUCGCCAACGCCCAUGUCCGCUCCGCCGCGCUCUAUCGCCUGUGCGCCACCACCUUUUGGAAACGCCUGCCGCGAUAGACCCACCAGCCGUGGGGAGAGGACAUACCGCCGUCGCUGACAACGACCAGGCUUUGCCUAGCGGUCACAAGGAGAAGGAAGAGGAGGGGCCCCCUUCCGGCGGCUAGGGCUGGCCAGCCUGGCCGCCCGCGGGAGCGACGCGGGUGCGGGUUCGGCGGCCAAUCGUAGUUGUUUGACCGACCCUCAUUUAACGUGAUCAAUCAUGUAUUAACGUAUUUUGUAAGAGAAAAGAAUGAUUCAUGUUAGUUUUGAUGCUAAAGGUGCAUCUACUUUAGGGCAGUCCCAGUGCAUUAUAUCUUAAUGUUGCUUCUACAACAAUCCUCAUUUAAUGUCUUUCCUGAGAGAAAAGUUAUUAAAAUAGUACAAUUACGAGUAGAAAAUUCAAUACAAAUCAAACCAUCAAGGGAGAAAAAAAUGCCACAUACAAUCAACAGUUAGUAAUAUAGUGACCGAGUGAAACUAUGGAUUCAAAGGGAUCGACUGAAAUUUCAAAGACAAAGAACGAUCUAAUAAUAUAAACUCUACCUGAUUGUCAGCAAUCAACCAGAGUCUUAGUGGCUACACCCAGUGGGUGCAUUGAUGAUGCCCUCACUGGAAAAAGUUUGCCACAUACAACUCAAAUGAUCAUAUAACCCGAGUGAAACCAUGAAUUUAAGAUAUUGGUUCUAGAUUUAAGAGUAAGGAAAUAAACUAACCUAUGAUUGCCAUCAAUCUGUGAGAGUCACUACUGGAAUUUACUUGUUUGCCAAGUGCCAAAAACACUCGGCAAAAGGCAAAAAACACUCGGCAAUACUUUUGCCGAGUGUUGUACUCGGCAACGCACAAUCAGCAAAGUCUUUGCCGAGUGGCAAACAUGGGUACUCGGCGAAGAAAAGCAACUUGACG
Molecule: long non-coding RNA, 24434 nt
Filed under: Triticum aestivum (bread wheat)
Lineage: Eukaryota; Viridiplantae; Streptophyta; Magnoliopsida; Poales; Poaceae
Description: long non-coding RNA (TAES_LNC028078)
Source: RNAcentral